This 453-nucleotide ribosomal RNA is filed under the name uncultured bacterium. RNAcentral's name for it is "bacterial SSU rRNA". It matches the Rfam family "Bacterial small subunit ribosomal RNA", at positions 340 to 784 of the family's 1533-position model. The record is from RNAcentral.
UACGGGAGGCAGCAGUGGGGAAUAUUGCACAAUGGGCGCAAGCCUGAUGCAGCCAUGCCGCGUGUAUGAAAAAGGCCUUCGGGUUGUAAAGUACUUUCAGUCGUGAGGAAGGUGUUAAGGUUAAUAACCUUAGCAAUUGACGUUAGCGACAGAAGAAGCACCGGCUAACUCCGUGCCAGCAGCCGCGGUAAUACGGAGGGUGCGAGCGUUAAUCGGAAUUACUGGGCGUAAAGGGCACGCAGGCGGUUAAUUAAGUUGGAUGUGAAAUCCCCGGGCUUAACCUGGGAAUGGCAUUCAAGACUGGUUAGCUAGAGUCUUGUAGAGGGGGUAGAAUUCCGAUGUGUAGCGGUGAAAUGCGUAGAGAUGUGGAGGAAUACCGGUGGCGAAGGCGGCCCCUGGACAAAGACUGACGCUCAUGUGCGAAAGCGUGGGGAGCAAACGAGGGAUUAGAUA